RNAcentral lists this long non-coding RNA (555 nucleotides) under Bos taurus (domestic cattle). RNAcentral describes it as "long non-coding RNA NONBTAT023275". Lineage: Eukaryota; Metazoa; Chordata; Mammalia; Artiodactyla; Bovidae. The record is from RNAcentral.
CAAAAUAGAAACUAAGCGUGGUAGUAGGGCUAGCCCAAAGGUGGCCAAAUCUGAAUGCUUUCUUCUGGGCCUGCUGCCAAGAGGAGAGCUAGCUGCCUGAUGGGGGCCUGCUAUGCUUCCUCUAAAACCUCCUUAUUUGGGGGUUCUCCCCAGAGACAGGGAAGAAAAUCCAGGGGGAGGCAUCAGCCUUGGAAGCCAGCACCAUCUGGUUUCUCACGCUGGUGGAAAGCAUGCGAGACAGGCAUGCUUGCAGAGAACAGGCGUCGCCUUCACAUCUCUGGCACAUCCAGGGUCACCCCGUCACCCCCACAUAAAGGGGCAGCAGAGGUGGCCCAGUGACCAGCCGUGCAGAGUGGUGACUGGCUGAUAGUGCAUCUCUUCUCAGUUUCACUUUUCUGACUCAGCCACAGCUUUGUUCCUAUCUUGCAGCUGCCUGGGAAUUUAGCUGGUCAGAUCAUUUUUAGUAUGUAAUCAUCUGACAUGCUAAGUGUCUGUGUGUGCCCUGGGACCCGGGGAUGGCGAUCUGACCUCGCCCUGUUCUUGUCUAGGAAACAC